Molecule: long non-coding RNA, 936 nt
Filed under: Dasypus novemcinctus (nine-banded armadillo)
Lineage: Eukaryota; Metazoa; Chordata; Mammalia; Cingulata; Dasypodidae
Description: lncRNA (ENSDNOG00000049864.1)
Source: RNAcentral
GGGUCGGGGUGGGGGGCCCGUGGGCAGAGGGGGUGGCGGGGCCAGAUCGUGAGUUUGGGCUUCAUCCUGAGAUCAGUGCCCGCCUGGGGCGGAGGGAGAGGGACGAAUAGACGUUUCUUUAAUUUUUUUUUUUUUAAUUAUCAUAGGAAAUUUCAAGCCUUAAAAGUAGACACCCACAUCCACCAGCCUCAUCCCUUAGCACCCGCCAGCCACAAAUGCGUGUCUUCUGUCCCGACAUCCUCCCUCUUGCCCUUUUCCUGCAUUUUUCUGAAGCCAACCCCAGACCUUGCAGGAUCUCGUCCCUAAAUGUUCCAGCGUGUCUUUAAAAGGCAAAGACGCUUUGAAAGCGUUGUUCCUGGAAGACAUCCCCAGUAUCUGGGAAGGUCGCCGCGGGGCGUGCCCCCAGCUGGCAGGCUCUGCCCUGUGCUGUGUGCACGUCCCCUCUCCCCCUCUCUGGGCCUGGGCGGGCCAGCCUGACCGGCCCUCCCUCGCACGGGUCGCCCGGGGCCCUCUUCUCUGCGGACCCGCCCCCCUCCUCUCCCGUCUCGCUGUCCCUCUGUCCCCCCAGGCCCCAGCCCUGAGCCGCCCGCCUGUCCCUGCAGCUCUUCGAGGGCCUGAAGGCCUACAAAGGCGGCGACCAGCAGGUGCGCCUCUUCCGGCCGUGGCUCAACAUGGAACGGAUGCUGCGCUCGGCCCAGCGCCUGUGCCUGCCGGUGGGCUUUCGACAAGGCCGAGCUGCUCGAGUGCAUCCGCCGGCUCAUCGAGGUGGACAGGGACUGGGUGCCGCAGGGCGCGGGCACCAGCCUCUACGUGCGGCCUGUGCUCCUGGGCAACGAGUCCUCGCUGGGAGUCAACCGAGCCUCGCAAGCGCUCCUGUACGUCAUCCUCUGUCCCGUGGGCGCGUACUUCCCUGGUGACGCCAUGACCCCCGUGUCC